This 64-nucleotide ribosomal RNA is filed under the name uncultured bacterium. RNAcentral describes it as "partial 16S ribosomal RNA". The record is from RNAcentral.
CUAACUACCUGCCAUCAGCCGCGGUAAUACUUGCGGUGCAAGCGUUAAUCGGAAUUACUGGGCG